CUGGCGGGUGCUAUACUGCAAGUCGAGCGGACAGAUGGGAGCUUGCUCCCUGAUGUUAGCGGCGGACGGGUGAGUAACACGUGGGUAACCUGCCUGUAAGACUGGGAUAACUCCGGGAAACCGGGGCUAAUACCGGAUGGUUGUUUGAACCGCAUGGUUCAGACAUAAAAGGUGGCUUCGGCUACCACUUACAGAUGGACCCGCGGCGCAUUAGCUAGUUGGUGAGGUAACGGCUCACCAAGGCGACGAUGCGUAGCCGACCUGAGAGGGUGAUCGGCCACACUGGGACUGAGACACGGCCCAGACUCCUACGGGAGGCAGCAGUAGGGAAUCUUCCGCAAUGGACGAAAGUCUGACGGAGCAACGCCGCGUGAGUGAUGAAGGUUUUCGGAUCGUAAAGCUCUGUUGUUAGGGAAGAACAAGUGCCGUUCAAAUAGGGCGGCACCUUGACGGUACCUAACCAGAAAGCCACGGCUAACUACGUGCCAGCAGCCGCGGUAAUACGUAGGUGGCAAGCGUUGUCCGGAAUUAUUGGGCGUAAAGGGCUCGCAGGCGGUUUCUUAAGUCUGAUGUGAAAGCCCCCGGCUCAACCGGGGGAGGGUCAUUGGAAACUGGGGAACUUGAGUGCAGAAGAGGAGAGUGGAAUUCCACGUGUAGCGGUGAAAUGCGGUAGAGAUGUGGAGGAACACCAGUGGCGAAGGCGACUCUCUGGUCUGUAACUGACGCUGAGGAACCGAAAGCGUGGGGAGCGAACAGGAUUAGAUAACCCUGGUAGUCCACGCCGUAAACGAUGAAGUGCUAAGUGGUUAGGGGGUUUCCCGCCCCUUAGUGCUGCAGCUAACGCAUUAAGCACUCCGGCCUGGGGGAGUACGGGUCGCAAGACUGAAACUCCAAAGGAAUUGACGGGGGCCCGCACAAGCGGGGGGGAACAUGUGGGUUAAUUCCAAACAACCCGAAAAAACCUUAACCAGGUCUUG
RNAcentral lists this ribosomal RNA (977 nucleotides) under Bacillus velezensis. Its description in RNAcentral is "bacterial SSU rRNA". It matches the Rfam family "Bacterial small subunit ribosomal RNA", at positions 36 to 983 of the family's 1533-position model. Lineage: Bacteria; Bacillati; Bacillota; Bacilli; Caryophanales; Bacillaceae. The record is from RNAcentral.